Molecule: ribosomal RNA, 253 nt
Filed under: uncultured bacterium
Lineage: Bacteria
Description: partial 16S ribosomal RNA
Rfam family: Bacterial small subunit ribosomal RNA
Source: RNAcentral
UACAGAGGGUGCGAGCGUUAAUCGGAAUUACUGGGCGUAAAGCGCGCGUAGGCGGCUUUGCAAGUCGGGUGUGAAAUCCCCAGGCUUAACCUGGGAACUGCAUUCGAGACUGCAUUGCUAGAGUAUGGGAGAGGGAAGUGGAAUUUCCGGUGUAGCGGUGAAAUGCGUAGAUAUCGGGAGGAACACCGGUGGCGAAGGCGGCGACCUGGGUAGAUACUGACGCUGAGGUGCGAAAGCGUGGGGAGCAAACAGG